Molecule: transfer RNA, 89 nt
Filed under: Gemmatimonadaceae bacterium
Lineage: Bacteria; Pseudomonadati; Gemmatimonadota; Gemmatimonadia; Gemmatimonadales; Gemmatimonadaceae
Description: tRNA-Ser
Rfam family: tRNA
About the family: Transfer RNA (tRNA) molecules are approximately 80 nucleotides in length. Their secondary structure includes four short double-helical elements and three loops (D, anti-codon, and T loops). Further hydrogen bonds mediate the characteristic L-shaped molecular structure. tRNAs have two regions of fundamental functional importance: the anti-codon, which is responsible for specific mRNA codon recognition, and the 3' end, to which the tRNAs corresponding amino acid is attached (by aminoacyl-tRNA synthetases). tRNAs cope with the degeneracy of the genetic code in two manners: having more than one tRNA (with a specific anti-codon) for a particular amino acid; and 'wobble' base-pairing, i.e. permitting non-standard base-pairing at the 3rd anti-codon position.
Source: RNAcentral
GGAGCGAUGGCCGAGAGGCUGAAGGCACCGGUUUGCUAAACCGGCGUACUGGGAAACUGGUACCGAGGGUUCGAAUCCCUCUCGCUCCG